Molecule: ribosomal RNA, 260 nt
Filed under: uncultured bacterium
Lineage: Bacteria
Description: partial 16S ribosomal RNA
Rfam family: Bacterial small subunit ribosomal RNA
Source: RNAcentral
GGGCGGCACAGAGGGAAGCCAGGUGGCGACACCGCGCGGAACCCGAAAGCCGUUCUCAGUUCGGAUCGGAGUCUGCAACCCGACUCCGUGAAGCUGGAUUCGCUAGUAAUCGCGCAUCAGCCAUGGCGCGGUGAAUACGUUCCCGGGCCUUGUACACACCGCCCGUCAAGCCAUGGGAGCCGGGGGUGCUUGAAGUGCGUCGCCGCAAGGCGCGCCCUAGAGCAAAACCGGUGACUGGGGCUAAGUCGUAACAAGGUAAC